This is a non-coding RNA of Mycena rosella, 92 nucleotides long. The record is from the annotation of a GenBank genome assembly. Lineage: Eukaryota; Fungi; Basidiomycota; Agaricomycetes; Agaricales; Mycenaceae.
GCGGACGUGGUGCACGGCGCACUACUGCAUUUAAUCAAGCGACAGUGUAGAUUUGAAAGUAGUGAGACGGGGUUCGACUCCCCGCGUCCGCG